Molecule: small nucleolar RNA, 133 nt
Filed under: Dasypus novemcinctus (nine-banded armadillo)
Lineage: Eukaryota; Metazoa; Chordata; Mammalia; Cingulata; Dasypodidae
Source: RNAcentral
UUCCAAAGUGUUGAGUUCAGUUCAGGGUAGUUUCUCUGUUCUGUUAAUUAAACUUUGGAAAAUUGAAAUGGGCUAGGAUAAUUGGUUGGAUAGAAAAGUACUGUUCUAUUCACUCAUAUCCCAGCCUACAAAA